GAAUAGUAACUCUGGCGGUGACACCUCUCAGCUAGUCGAUCACCAGGGUUGAUUCGGCUGAUCUGGCUGCCUAGGUGGGUGUCCCCUUCCUCGCUCAUAAUUCCAUGUGUUUCUCUCCUGAUGCUGCACACUUCGUGGAAGAGGAUGACCAUCUCAGAUAGUGGGGGUGUACCAUUUUUCAUUUGAGGGUAUGUAAAUUGCAACAUUUUGCUUGUAUCAGCAGUGGUGCCAGUUUUGAUAACAGGAAGUGGGAGCAGUCAUUGGGACAACCAAAACAAGUAAGCACGCUGCAUGAAGCCUUCAUAU
RNAcentral lists this small RNA (306 nucleotides) under Pogona vitticeps (central bearded dragon). RNAcentral describes it as "7SK RNA (ENSPVIG00000008795.1)". The stretch from base 1 to 199 matches the Rfam family "7SK RNA". From Rfam's summary of the family: 7SK was discovered as an abundant small nuclear RNA in the mid-70s but a possible function has only recently been suggested. Two independent studies have found that 7SK RNA binds the CDK9/cyclin T complex (known as elongation factor P-TEFb). The record is from RNAcentral. Lineage: Eukaryota; Metazoa; Chordata; Lepidosauria; Squamata; Agamidae.